RNAcentral lists this ribosomal RNA (444 nucleotides) under uncultured bacterium. Its description in RNAcentral is "bacterial SSU rRNA". It matches the Rfam family "Bacterial small subunit ribosomal RNA", at positions 354 to 796 of the family's 1533-position model. The record is from RNAcentral.
GUGAGGAAUAUUGGUCAAUGGGCGCAAGCCUGAACCAGCCAAGUCGCGUGAAGGAUGACUGCCCUAUGGGUUGUAAACUUCUUUUGUAAUGGGAGAAACCGGAUUACGUGUAAUCCGUUGACAGUACAUUACGAAUAAGCAUCGGCUAACUCCGUGCCAGCAGCCGCGGUAAUACGGAGGAUGCGAGCGUUAUCCGGAUUUAUUGGGUUUAAAGGGUGCGUAGGCGGUUUUGUAAGUUAGUGGUCAAAUGUCAUGGCUUAACCUUGGCUUGCCAUUAAAACUGCAGGACUCGAGUACAGACGAGGUAGGCGGAAUAAGUUAAGUAGCGGUGAAAUGCAUAGAUAUAACUUAGAACUCCGAUAGCGAAGGCAGCUUACCAGACUGUAACUGACGCUGAUGCACGAGAGCAUGGGUAGCGAACAGGAUUAGAAACCCGUGUAGUCC